This 305-nucleotide ribosomal RNA is filed under the name uncultured bacterium. RNAcentral describes it as "bacterial SSU rRNA". It matches the Rfam family "Bacterial small subunit ribosomal RNA", at positions 335 to 658 of the family's 1533-position model. The record is from RNAcentral.
AUCCUACGGGGGGCAGCAGUGGGGGAUAUUGCACAAUGGGGGGAACCCUGAUGCAGCGACGCCGCGUGGGUGAAGAAGCGCCUCGGCGCGUAAAGCCCUGUCAGCAGGGAAGAAAAUGACGGUACCUGAAGAAGAAGCCCCGGCUAACUACGUGCCAGCAGCCGCGGUAAUACGUAGGUGGCAAGCGUUGUCCGGAUUUACUGGGUGUAAAGGGCGUGCAGCCGGGAAGACAAGUCAGAUGUGAAAUCCCGCGGCUCAACCGCGGAACUGCAUUUGAAACUGUUUUUCUUGAGUACCGGAGAGGG